Molecule: transfer RNA, 61 nt
Filed under: Anaulaciulus koreanus
Lineage: Eukaryota; Metazoa; Arthropoda; Diplopoda; Julida; Julidae
Description: tRNA-Glu
Source: RNAcentral
GUUUCUAUAGUGUAAUUAACACAUAACACCUUCACCGUUAAAAUAAAUUAAUUUAGAAAUA